CAACCCUCAGUCCCAGAACUCAGCCCCCAAAAUCCACCCACCCCUCUCCUCCGUCUCCUCCUCUCUUCCGCCGGCGCCACAGACCCCGCGAUUGUUGUGCCUUCACUCUUCGCCGCGGGUGCAGGUUUGGGUGCUCCCGGUUUCGGUCCCUUUAAUCUUUUCGAUGUCGCAUAAGCGGCAACCUGAAGAGGAGGAGAAAGCGGCGUCCGGCGGGGGCUCCGAUGAGAAGCGGCAGAAAGUUCCCGCUCUCAAAGAGGUUAUAGUGGAGGCCUUGAAGAUGAAUAGAGUGCAGAAGUUGUUGACAGCUCUGGAGCCCUUGGUUCGAAGAGUUCUAAAAAUGCAAGGAGGACAAUUUUUCGAUGAUACUUUUUGAUGCUAAAGGCUUCGAUAUCUCUUAUGAAGGUGACCGAAGAGAUGAAGAAUGGGCAAUAGCACUUGAAAAGUAUGUUAAAGACUAUCCAGAUGU
Asparagus officinalis (garden asparagus) is the source of this 466-nucleotide long non-coding RNA. RefSeq lists it as uncharacterized. NCBI's taxonomy places the organism in Eukaryota, Viridiplantae, Streptophyta, Magnoliopsida, Asparagales, Asparagaceae. The transcript has 4 exons. The record is from RefSeq and is a predicted model, not a curated record.